This is a long non-coding RNA of Pipra filicauda (Wire-tailed manakin), 1501 nucleotides long. RefSeq lists it as uncharacterized. The transcript has 2 exons. NCBI's taxonomy places the organism in Eukaryota, Metazoa, Chordata, Aves, Passeriformes, Pipridae. The record is from RefSeq and is a predicted model, not a curated record.
CAGGGCAGCUGCCUACCUACCACCCCUCGCUGUGGGCUUUAUUUCAGGGUGGGCAGGGAGGCAGAAAAGGCCUUGGCUCUUUGUUACCUCUGCUCAGUGAUAACGAAAACAUCUCUACAUUAUCAACACUGUUUCCAGCACAAAUCCAAACCACAUCCCAGACCAGCCAUUGUGAAGGAAAUGAACUCUACCCCAGCCAAAAGCAGCACUGGUGUGUAUGUAUAUAAGGCUCUUUCUGUGAUGAUCUCAGCCAAGAAGAGAGCUAGAAGGAGUAUCGAGGAAAUCUGCAGAGACACAAUGAUGAGCAGGCCAGCAGGUAGGGAAUACAGGAGCUGGAAGAUAAUACCUGUACCUGGAAAGAAAGCACAGCAGAAAGAGUAGAUAUUCUCAAGGCUGGCAGAUCAGCAGCCACAGGGAACAGAGUGUUUGCCAGAGUGUGGAGGGAUGGAGGGCUCACCAAGGAACAGCUCGAGAAAACAGCAGUAUAACUUGGCAAUCACACCUGUAGCCAAUGCCAGGAAUGUGAGUAACCAUGAUCCCAGUCCCUGUGAAGGGAACUCUAGUACAAAAAUCUCUCUGGCACAGGCUAGAUUAGUCCUUUCAGCCACUUCUUCAGCCUCCUGAACUAACUGAAGUCUCUGGUAGAAUAACUACUUGCAGAAGGAUGCACAGAUGGGGAUGAAGCAAAGGACAGAUCUUCAGGUGGAGUGGGCUUCAUGGAAAACACAUGGAAUAUCAAAGAGGAGGCUUCCACUGCUCCACAGACUUCAGGAGGCAGGAGGAUGUGCCAGAAAAGGACAGUGCUGGCAAACCAUUGUGAGGGGAACACAAGUCCUCUGAGCAAAAGCGGAAAAGGAAAACAAGAACACAAUCCUCAGAGUGUCAUUUUAGUGACUGUACACACUUAAGUGGUGUCACUUUGAUGGGAGAAAUAAACUGAAAGUGGUGUAAGGAAAGACAAGCCUACAAUUUUGCAUCACUUAGGAAUCCUCUCAGGAGGCAGAGAGGAAGCAAGGCAACAGGAACGAGAAAUCAGACAAGAAGUUUACAUCAAAGUGAAGAAAUCCAAAUGAAUGAUUCCAUUCAAUUACCUCACAGAUACCAAAACAAGACAGCAAGUACAAGAAUAUAGAAUUGUCCUAACAGCAAAACUUGACCAUUUGUGGAAAUCUUAGACCUUGGGAAGCUGGUAUAAUCAUUGUCUCAUUAUAGACAUGAAAUCUGCAGUAGAAGCCAUGGAGUGAAGAGUUCAAGCCCUUAAGUUCAAAAUGUUUUCCAGAGACUUUGCAUAGACUGUUCUGACAGCUGAAAACUAAGAUUUGGAGUAGAAAAAGGUGUAGUCAUUUUGUCUGGUGGAUGUGUACUGACAGCACUAGAAAGUGGAAACUGAAAACAGCUUGGCCAUAGGAUCAGAGUUAACAGGCCAGGCAGGCACUCAGCUACAGGGAGCAAUCAAAGUGAAAAGGUUUCCAAGGUUAAAAAUAAAUAAAUACAUAAAUCA